UACGAAGGUGGCUAGCGUUGUUCGGAAUCACUGGGCGUAAAGGGCGCGUAGGCGGCUUUAUAAGUCGGGGGUGAAAGCCUGUGGCUCAACCACAGAAUUGCCUUCGAUACUGUAGAGCUUGAGACCGGAAGAGGUAAGUGGAACUGCGAGUGUAGAGGUGAAAUUCGUAGAUAUUCGCAAGAACACCAGUGGCGAAGGCGGCUUACUGGUCCGGUUCUGACGCUGAGGCGCGAAAGCGUGGGGGGCAAACAGG
Molecule: ribosomal RNA, 253 nt
Filed under: uncultured bacterium
Lineage: Bacteria
Description: partial 16S ribosomal RNA
Rfam family: Bacterial small subunit ribosomal RNA
Source: RNAcentral